Molecule: long non-coding RNA, 3248 nt
Organism: Anopheles coluzzii
Lineage: Eukaryota; Metazoa; Arthropoda; Insecta; Diptera; Culicidae
Exons: 14
Source: RefSeq, a predicted model, not a curated record
GUACCGCAAGCCGAAGUGAAAAGUAAAGCAACAAUAGUACUCUCGUCUACUGUUAUACUCUAACGUAACCAUGUGUGGACGCCGCCUACGAGAUCUAUGACUUCGAGUCUAUAUGAAUUUGCUGAUUCGCUGAUAUUCGCAGACGAGAUCUAUGACGUCUAGUCUGUAUCAACCAUUUAUUGCAGAUCGUAAUCACGCAAAUUGUCGACGAUGCUGGUGAGGCAGAUACCUUGAGCGUAUUAGUGUGCUGACUAUUACCCGAUAAGCGAAAUACACUCGGGCUUCGUGGAGCGCAACUCCGGAGUAUCUUCUAGAGCGCCCUUGCCCCUUCCUUGCUGUCGUUACCCAUAACUGUUAGCUGGAGACAUUUUUAUAUCGGUAUCGUAUGACAAACUAGUGUCAAAGUGUUUCCUGCACCCCUUACCGUGGAGAUGUGCGCCAGUGAAGUGCGACGAGAAGGUUAGAGCGGGGGAAGAUUAUGCUUUCUCCCUCAGUACCGCAAGCCGAAGUGAAAAGUAAAGCAACAAUAGUACUCUCGUCUACUGUUAUACUCUAACGUAACCAUGUGUGGACGCCGCCUACGAGAUCUAUGACUUCGAGUCUAUAUGAAUUUGCUGAUUCGCUGAUAUUCGCAGACGAGAUCUAUGACGUCUAGUCUGUAUCAACCAUUUAUUGCAGAUCGUAAUCACGCAAAUUGUCGACGAUGCUGGUGAGGCAGAUACCUUGAGCGUAUUAGUGUGCUGACUAUUACCCGAUAAGCGAAAUACACUCGGGCUUCGUGGAGCGCAACUCCGGAGUAUCUUCUAGAGCGCCCUUGCCCCUUCCUUGCUGUCGUUACCCAUAACUGUUAGCUGGAGACAUUUUUAUAUCGGUAUCGUAUGACAAACUAGUGUCAAAGUGUUUCCUGCACCCCUUACCGUGGAGAUGUGCGCCAGUGAAGUGCGACGAGAAGGUUAGAGCGGGGGAAGAUUAUGCUUUCUCCCUCAGUACCGCAAGCCGAAGUGAAAAGUAAAGCAACAAUAGUACUCUCGUCUACUGUUAUACUCUAACGUAACCAUGUGUGGACGCCGCCUACGAGAUCUAUGACUUCGAGUCUAUAUGAAUUUGCUGAUUCGCUGAUAUUCGCAGACGAGAUCUAUGACGUCUAGUCUGUAUCAACCAUUUAUUGCAGAUCGUAAUCACGCAAAUUGUCGACGAUGCUGGUGAGGCAGAUACCUUGAGCGUAUUAGUGUGCUGACUAUUACCCGAUAAGCGAAAUACACUCGGGCUUCGUGGAGCGCAACUCCGGAGUAUCUUCUAGAGCGCCCUUGCCCCUUCCUUGCUGUCGUUACCCAUAACUGUUAGCUGGAGACAUUUUUAUAUCGGUAUCGUAUGACAAACUAGUGUCAAAGUGUUUCCUGCACCCCUUACCGUGGAGAUGUGCGCCAGUGAAGUGCGACGAGAAGGUUAGAGCGGGGGAAGAUUAUGCUUUCUCCCUCAGUACCGCAAGCCGAAGUGAAAAGUAAAGCAACAAUAGUACUCUCGUCUACUGUUAUACUCUAACGUAACCAUGUGUGGACGCCGCCUACGAGAUCUAUGACUUCGAGUCUAUAUGAAUUUGCUGAUUCGCUGAUAUUCGCAGACGAGAUCUAUGACGUCUAGUCUGUAUCAACCAUUUAUUGCAGAUCGUAAUCACGCAAAUUGUCGACGAUGCUGGUGAGGCAGGUAGGUGGUUUGUGCAAUUCAAAUAUUAUACCUUUCCACAUUGGCUGCACGUAGCAUUAUGCAGUGAUAGCAUUGGCAACGUUCAUUUAGAACGUUAAUGUUUUUUUUGCCUGUUUGCAGAUGAAGUCCAGCAUUCUACAACAAUAACAAAAAGUUUGCAACUUAAUUAUUGUAAGUCUUUGACAGUGGCAAAGACCAGUCCCCAGAGACAAAGACCCCUGGCAAAGACCAACUCGGAGGGGUUUGUAGAUUUAGCAAUGCAGCUUUGCUAAAAAAGCGUACAAUAUUGAUGAUCCUGAUACUGAUCCUAUCGCGUCAAAAACGCGAAAAACAAACAAUAGAAAAAUAGCAAAAGGAACAGAAAGGAAAAACGACCAAUAGUUGCAUUGUUCGAUAGCAAUUUGAUGUAAAGUAGAUGGACAAGAAGAACUACAUAGUCAAAUCACGCCAACAAUAGGCUUAGUGCACACCAUAAAGUAAAUAUCUGUUUUAGAAGUAAGAUUCGGUACUACAGCGUAGGCUGUUCAACCAAUUCCGAGCAUGUUUACAAUAUUUUUAUUCUUAUACCAAUUCGCACAGUAUGCGGCUUGUUCUGAGAUAUGCAUGUUUUGCAGGGAGGGGCUGAGGACUUUAAAAAUACUGUUCUGUUAGGUACCUUGUUAGCACACAUGCUUUCAAUGAUAGAUACUUUCACUCCAGUACCGAGUGUAUUAUUCCGUUUUAAUAUGCGCUAGAAGUACAAACAAACCCUUCUUUUAGCGACAUGUGUGAAAUAUUUUCUUCUAUUUUGCUGCUGAUGCUGUUUUUGCGGCGCUCUUUUCGGCAUAUCCCGUUACAUAAUGUUAAGCACAGUCCAGUAGACCGGAGACCUUUGCCUUCUUUAGUGGACUCACUCACAUUAUAGACUCACUAGGUCGUACUAGAAUAGUCAUGGGGCAUGUUUUAUUUAGACCGCCUUUCAAAUUUCACAGUACGUCUACUUGUUUCAAUAACGAGAAACGCGUCAACGGACACUAAAGAGUCUCUUGGACGUUUUAAUAAGGGUUGUUGGAAGGUGUUGUACGGUUUCCAAAAGUCGUGUUUAUCAUUUUAAUUAAGAAUGGCAACUCGUUCAUGCAGUUACUGUUAGAAUGUGUGUCUGGGACAAAUAUCAACCACUCAUAAUAAGUUUUCCCAAGUUUUGUAUCUAUAUUGGCUAACCUAGCCGUGUUUGUUCUAUUGCACAUUUCCUGUUCAGGUGCUUUCCUGGGAACAUAGGAAAUGUAUCAAGUGAAACUAUGUUAUUAAGCUUUAGAUAAUCUGGUCGAAGUCUUUAUUUAGUUUGAAUAUUAUUAUUCUUUUGAACUAGCAAAAAGUAUUGCAUGGUGAAAUCGUAUUGUAUAUGACUAUUGUUCGGAUUUGUCCUUCAUGCCACGCCAUAGCUCGUCUUCUUUCUUAGCGAUCUCUGUCACUGGUAUAAAUCACUUGUUCCAGUGUGGAGUUUGUCUCAUUGUCCUGAUAUUUGAGUAUUGCAUCGCUAAGUUUUGUACACGCACUAGCAGUUG